RNAcentral lists this ribosomal RNA (393 nucleotides) under uncultured prokaryote. RNAcentral describes it as "partial 16S ribosomal RNA". The record is from RNAcentral.
CCCUAUGGGGCGCAGCAGAGGAGGCGUUGUUGCUCGAGGUACCAUUUCAGAAUGCCCUGGUGGUCGGGAUGUUGGAGGAAUUUCUUAAGGCCACCGGAUAGCGUGGUUCCUGAACCGGCAAAAUCAUCCACCAGCACGACGAGGGGAUCCUGCUCUUUAUGGGUCUUCAUCCAGUCGUAGAUGGAGGCUGCGGGGCCGGUUUUACCUGGCCUUAGGCUCUUCGCCAGCUCGCGGGCGAGAGUGGCACCGCUCUUGAGGUCGGACUCAGAAUCCACGUAGGAGACGCACAGAUUGUCGAUGCGACCGAGGACGAUUUUCCAGGGGGCGCCCCCCAUGGAGUUGCGGGCUGCAUGGAUGGCCUGCUCCAUCACGGUGAGGAAUUGGCGGGGGAGC